CAUUGAACGCUGGCGGAAUGCUUUACACAUGCAAGUCGAACGGCAGCACGGGUGCUUGCACCUGGUGGCGAGUGGCGAACGGGUGAGUAAUGCGUCGGAACGUACCGAGUAAUGGGGGAUAACGCAGCGAAAGUUGUGCUAAUACCGCAUACGCCCUGAGGGGGAAAGUGGGGGACCGCAAGGCCUCACGUUAUUCGAGCGGCCGACGUCUGAUUAGCUAGCUGGUGGGGUAAAGGCCUACCAAGGCGACGAUCAGUAGCGGGUCUGAGAGGAUGAUCCGCCACACUGGGACUGAGACACGGCCCAGACUCCUACGGGAGGCAGCAGUGGGGAAUUUUGGACAAUGGGGGCAACCCUGAUCCAGCCAUUCCGCGUGAGUGAAGAAGGCCUUCGGGUUGUAAAGCUCUUUCAGCUGGAACGAAACGGUACGCGCUAACAUCGUGUGCUAAUGACGGUACCGGCAGAAGAAGCACCGGCUAACUACGUGCCAGCAGCCGCGGUAAUACGUAGGGUGCGAGCGUUAAUCGGAAUUACUGGGCGUAAAGCGUGCGCAGGCGGAUUGUUAAGCAAGACGUGAAAUCCCCGGGCUUAACCUGGGAAUGGCGUUUUGAACUGGCAGUCUAGAGUGCGUCAGAGGGGGGUGGAAUUCCACGUGUAGCAGUGAAAUGCGUAGAGAUGUGGAGGAACACCGAUGGCGAAGGCAGCCCCCUGGGAUGACACUGACGCUCAUGUACGAAAGCGUGGGUAGCAAACAGGAUUAGAUACCCUG
Molecule: ribosomal RNA, 769 nt
Filed under: uncultured bacterium
Lineage: Bacteria
Description: bacterial SSU rRNA
Rfam family: Bacterial small subunit ribosomal RNA
Source: RNAcentral